UACGUAGGGUGCAAGCGUUAAUCGGAUUUACUGGGCGUAAAGGGCGCGCAGGCGGUUCUGUUUGUCGAGUGUGAAAGCCCCGGGCUCAACCUGGGAACUGCGCUCGAAACGGCGGAACUAGAGUUCGGGAGAGGAGAGUGGAAUUCCCAGUGUAGAGGUGAAAUUCGUAGAUAUUGGGAAGAACACCGGUGGCGAAGGCGGCUCUCUGGACCGAUACUGACGCUGAGGCGCGAAAGCGUGGGGAGCAAACAGGG
RNAcentral lists this ribosomal RNA (254 nucleotides) under uncultured bacterium. RNAcentral describes it as "partial 16S ribosomal RNA". It matches the Rfam family "Bacterial small subunit ribosomal RNA", at positions 524 to 777 of the family's 1533-position model. The record is from RNAcentral.